RNAcentral lists this unclassified non-coding RNA (165 nucleotides) under uncultured Meliniomyces. RNAcentral describes it as "sequence contains ITS1". Lineage: Eukaryota; Fungi; Ascomycota; Leotiomycetes; Helotiales; Helotiaceae. The record is from RNAcentral.
AAGAAUUGCCCCGUCUUCUCGAAGAUGGGUUCUAUUCCAAACCGUGUUUACAUACCUUUGUUGCUUUGGCGGGCCGCCGUUUCGGCGUUGGCUCCGGCUGACUGCGCCCGCCAGAGGACCACAACUCUUGUUUUACCUGCAGUCAGAGUAACUACUUAAUAGUUA